CACCACCUAUAUUUUAAAUCCUUGCAUGAACGCAGAGGAAUUUGUUAACAAUUUUAAAACUUCUUUCGGUGGUGUGCUUGUGAACCAAAGCAUAUAUUCGUUAGCAGAAGUAGCUGGAAACUUUUCUUCUUUUGGUUUUUUUUCCUCCCUUCUUUUGUUUUUCCUUAUUGACGAAGGAAUCAAAAUCCAACUCAUCUACUUGGUGGUGUUUUCUCUUUGGGUGUAGCCUUUGGUUUACUUUUUGCAUGUCAUCAGGUGGGGUUCAACGUAUGGUUGGUUUUAGUUUUAUUUGUAGUUUCAAACAAAUGUUGAUGCACCAGAUAAAACCUAAUUGAAUUAAGCCACUGACACUAUUAUUUUAAUUACAGUCCCUAGAAAAGUAAUUAUAGGAUUUAGUUCCACUGUUACACAAUCUAUAGUAUAUAAAAUGAUAGGUAGGUGCCAAACUUUUAUCAUCUCUACAACCUCCUUGAUACAAUAGUCAGUCACCAAGAAACUCAUAACCAGCAAAUUAGAUUUUGUGUUUAUAUUCCAAUAUGCCUAAGGCAGAGGCACAAGAGAAUCAACCCCCGGCAGGAUAUCCUACUGGGGAUCCACCUACUAAGAACAAAUGUUUCCCUCGAAGAAAGAAGAAAGGAGACAGAAGCUUCAUUGAGGGAUGCCUGUUCGCGCUUUGUUGCUGUUGGCUCUGCGAAACUUGCCUCUAAAUAAUGCUUUCAAGAAUCAUGAUGCCUAUCUUUGGUUGAAUACCGUCGAUUGCCGCAUUUACUGGUAUUCUAUGAGUUUGGUCAUGUGUUGCAAUAAAGUAGGGAAGUCUUGAAUCUGCUAAGGAAUCUAUAUAUGGAGGUUUUCUUUGUUUUUUUUUUUUUUUGGUUAAACCCAUGUUCAUCAUCUUUAUUUUAAUGAUUUUCUUUAAUUUACUCUUGACAUUUCUGCAUAUGUUUCCUGGAACAGAGAGAUUUCGAGGCUUAAUUUAAGGCAUAUAUUAUUCAGUAGCAGGAACAAGUUUGAGUUCACCUGAAACAAAAAGCCUACGGUUUAUUAAUACUAAAGUUUUAUUUGGCCCA
Molecule: non-coding RNA, 1067 nt
Organism: Durio zibethinus
Lineage: Eukaryota; Viridiplantae; Streptophyta; Magnoliopsida; Malvales; Malvaceae
Source: RefSeq, a predicted model, not a curated record